RNAcentral lists this long non-coding RNA (718 nucleotides) under Corvus moneduloides (New Caledonian crow). RNAcentral's name for it is "lncRNA (ENSCMUG00000001102.2)". The record is from RNAcentral. Lineage: Eukaryota; Metazoa; Chordata; Aves; Passeriformes; Corvidae.
GGGAGAUUAAUAAUUAUUUUCUGUUUAAAUAAGGCAGAUGAGACAUUGAAUUGCACUCCUGUUAAUAAUUGAAUGUUAAAACAAAUGUACGACUGUGUUCCAGGACUGCAGAAAACAAUGAAUCAUGCAUUUAUUAUUUUAACUGAUAUGGUACAAUCAGCAGGGAACUCUUAUUUAGAGAGCAGGCUAGUGUCUGCUGUGCUGGUUAAAGCCUAAUCCAGGGUCUUGUGUUAUUGCAGCUCGUGGAAUGAGUCUAGUGCAUAGAAAUCAGAGGGCAGAGAGAAAGAGAGCAAGGGAAGAAAAAGAAUGUAUAAAAUACAGAAUCUGUUGGAACUCCUUGAGAUGUCUGUGAUGCUCGGUGUCUACAAAUACACAUCCGUGUAUCAGCCUUUGAUAGCUGGGAGCUGUCUCCUUUCAGCUGGACACAGAGGCCCCCCCAGCUGUGCAGCAGAAGUGAAGAUGUUUUUGACAUACCAGGGACAUGCAUUUUGCCAGAUCCACCCAGACAUCUUGUGCCAGGUUCUGUUACAGUCCACAGACCACACUGGAUGCAGGGUUGCAGUGGAAGUUGAGUGUAUCCUCAAAGAUAUCCAGAAGCUGUGCUGAAUGCAGGUCCACCCAUUCCUUUUGCUUUCUGCAGUAAUUUUUUAUGAUUUUGCACAUAGAGGUCUCCACGUAUUGGACAAUAUUUUGUCUGUUUCUUUAGAGGUACCAGUUG